RNAcentral lists this unclassified non-coding RNA (548 nucleotides) under Hevea brasiliensis (rubber tree). The record is from RNAcentral. Lineage: Eukaryota; Viridiplantae; Streptophyta; Magnoliopsida; Malpighiales; Euphorbiaceae.
UCUUGUUAACAUGCAACACACAGUAAUACCCUCAUGGUAUCAACGGGAAGGAUAUAUCAAAGCCAUGGCAGAUUUGAUGGAAAAAGAGUUGAACAUGUUUGAACGUCCGGAGGAGGUGAUGAUAUUCUUCAGUGCUCAUGGUGUACCACUUGCAUAUGUAGAGGAAGCAGGUGAUCCAUACAAGGCUGAGAUGGAGGAAUGUGUGGACUUAAUAAUGGAAGAACUUGAGAAGAGAAGGGUACAUAAUGCAUAUACUUUGGCAUAUCAGAGUAGGGUUGGACCUGUUGAAUGGCUUAAACCAUAUACUGAUGAGACAAUAAUUGAGCUUGGGAAAAAAGGGGUAAAGAGUCUUCUUGCCGUGCCAAUAAGUUUUGUAAGUGAGCAUAUUGAGACAUUAGAGGAAAUUGAUGUUGAAUACAAGGAGCUAGCAUUGGAGUCUGGAAUACAGAACUGGGCACGUGUUCCUGCCCUAGGUGUUGAACCCACUUUCAUUUCAGAUUUGGCAGAUGCAGUGAUUGAAAGUCUUCCAUAUGUUGGAGCAAUGGCAG